Molecule: ribosomal RNA, 691 nt
Filed under: uncultured beta proteobacterium
Lineage: Bacteria; Pseudomonadati; Pseudomonadota; Betaproteobacteria
Description: bacterial SSU rRNA
Rfam family: Bacterial small subunit ribosomal RNA
Source: RNAcentral
GCACGGAGAGCUUGCUCUCUGGUGGCGAGUGGCGAACGGGUGAGUAAUAUAUCGGAACGUGUCCAAUAAUGGGGGAUAACGAGUCGAAAGAUUCGCUAAUACCGCAUACGCCCUACGGGGGAAAGCAGGGGAUCGUAAGACCUUGCGUUAAUGGAGCGGCCGAUAUCUGAUUAGCUUGUUGGUGAGGUAAAGGCUCACCAAGGCGACGAUCAGUAGCUGGUUUGAGAGAACGACCAGCCACACUGGAACUGAGACACGGUCCAGACUCCUACGGGAGGCAGCAGUGGGGAAUUUUGGACAAUGGGGGCAACCCUGAUCCAGCCAUUCCGCGUGAGUGAAGAAGGCCUUCGGGUUGUAAAGCUCUUUCGCAAGGGAAGAAAACUUAUGAUCGAAUAAAUCAUGAGGUUGACGGUACCUUGAUAAGAAGCACCGGCUAACUACGUGCCAGCAGCCGCGGUAAUACGUAGGGUGCGAGCGUUAAUCGGAAUUACUGGGCGUAAAGCGUGCGCAGGCGGUUUUGUAAGUCGGAUGUGAAAUCCCCGGGCUCAACCUGGGAACUGCGUUCGAAACUGCAAGGCUAGAGUGUGUCAGAGGGGGGUAGAAUUCCACGUGUAGCAGUGAAAUGCGUAGAGAUGUGGAGGAAUACCAAUGGCGAAGGCAGCCCCCUGGGAUAACACUGACGCUCAUGCAC